This 128-nucleotide ribosomal RNA is filed under the name uncultured eukaryote. Its description in RNAcentral is "partial small subunit ribosomal RNA". It matches the Rfam family "Eukaryotic small subunit ribosomal RNA", at positions 1651 to 1778 of the family's 1831-position model. The record is from RNAcentral.
CCCUGCCCUUUGUACACACCGCCCGUCGCACCUACCGAUUGAAUGGUCCGGUGAGAUCUUGGGAUUUCGGUCUGUUUUCUUUAUUGAGAGUGGAUUGAAAGAACUUGAGCAAACCUUACCAUUUAGAG